This 253-nucleotide ribosomal RNA is filed under the name uncultured bacterium. RNAcentral's name for it is "partial 16S ribosomal RNA". It matches the Rfam family "Bacterial small subunit ribosomal RNA", at positions 524 to 776 of the family's 1533-position model. The record is from RNAcentral.
UACGAAGGGGGCUAGCGUUGUUCGGAAUUACUGGGCGUAAAGCGUGCGCAGGCGGCUUUCCAAGUCAGUGGUGAAAGCCCGGAGCUCAACUCCAGAACUGCCUUUGAUACUGAGGAUCUUGAGUUCGGGAGAGGUGAGUGGAACUGCGAGUGUAGAGGUGAAAUUCGUAGAUAUUCGCAAGAACACCAGUGGCGAAGGCGGCUCACUGGCCCGAUACUGACGCUGAGGCACGAAAGCGUGGGGAGCAAACAGG